RNAcentral lists this ribosomal RNA (253 nucleotides) under uncultured bacterium. Its description in RNAcentral is "partial 16S ribosomal RNA". It matches the Rfam family "Bacterial small subunit ribosomal RNA", at positions 524 to 776 of the family's 1533-position model. The record is from RNAcentral.
UACAUGGGGUGCAAACGUUGCUCGGAAUCACUGGGCGUAAAGCGCACGUAGGCGGAUUGCUAAGUCAGGGGUGAAAUCCUGGAGCUUAACUCCGAAACUGCAUUCGAUACUGCCGUGCUUGAGGACUGGAGAGGAGACUGGAAUUUACGGUGUAGCGGUGAAAUGCGUAGAUAUCGUAAGGAAGACCAGUGGCGAAGGCGGGUCUCUGGACAGUUCCUGACGCUGAGGCACGAAGGUCAGGGGAGCAAACGGG